RNAcentral lists this long non-coding RNA (239 nucleotides) under Glycine max (soybean). RNAcentral's name for it is "long non-coding RNA (GMAX_LNC004244)". The record is from RNAcentral. Lineage: Eukaryota; Viridiplantae; Streptophyta; Magnoliopsida; Fabales; Fabaceae.
GAUGAAGAAUAUUAGAGAUGACGUUAUAUGCUUAAGGCUUUAGCUAGCAUUUUAAGCUCUAAAGUCUACAUUAAAAUAAAGGGUUCCUUGUAGUGGACAAACCAAUUUCAAAGCAAAAAUUAAUAAAAUAAAAUAAAAAUCUAGAUAUAAGAAAAGGAAAUUCCUUAUCCCUAAUGUAGCGUUCCCUGUUCCCUUUGUUUGAGUAACUGUAGAAAUUGGGGGCCCUAUUAGAUGUACGG